Molecule: small RNA, 112 nt
Filed under: Rhizobium pisi
Lineage: Bacteria; Pseudomonadati; Pseudomonadota; Alphaproteobacteria; Hyphomicrobiales; Rhizobiaceae
Description: ar15
Rfam family: Alphaproteobacterial ar15
Source: RNAcentral
AGCUGAUGCACAUGGCGGUCUCCUCCCAGUGCCGCCGCAACAGCUGUUCCCCUCUGGAGGUUAAAUAACCUUCACACUUCAUGGGCCUCGGUUCUUCCGACGGCCCAUUUUU